GCAAGUCGAGCGCACCUUCGGGUGAGCGGCGGACGGGUUAGUAACGCGUGGGAACAUACCCUUCUCUAAGGAAUAGCCACUGGAAACGAUGAGUAAUACCGUAUACGCCCUUCGGGGGAAAGAUUUAUCGGUGAAAGAUUGGCCCGCGUUAGAUUAGAUAGUUGGUGGGGUAACGGCCUACCAAGUCUACGAUCUAUAGCUGGUUUUAGAGAAUGAUC
This 218-nucleotide ribosomal RNA is filed under the name uncultured bacterium. RNAcentral's name for it is "partial 16S ribosomal RNA". It matches the Rfam family "Bacterial small subunit ribosomal RNA", at positions 57 to 305 of the family's 1533-position model. The record is from RNAcentral.